Molecule: long non-coding RNA, 3568 nt
Organism: Vitis riparia (riverbank grape)
Lineage: Eukaryota; Viridiplantae; Streptophyta; Magnoliopsida; Vitales; Vitaceae
Exons: 2
Source: RefSeq, a predicted model, not a curated record
AAAUUCCUCUCCAUCUUCUCUCUCUAUAUAUUCGUCCUCUCCUUUCUUUCUCAUCAUCUCCCUCGCCGGCGGUUGUCGCUAAUCUCUGGAUGACUCUCAUUCCCACCGCUGGCGCCUGAUUUCAUCUUCAGUCAGAUUCAGAUUUUAUGAUCUCAUAAUGCGACGGCUUUCUGUGUGUUUGCGCAUGGUUUUGAUUGAUUCCGUGUUACUAUUGUUUGUCUAAAAUUUUGUGUCUCAAUGUCAAUGAUGACAACUCCAAAGGCUUGUUUCUCAAAACAUUCGCAGUAGCCGCCUAAGAGCUUUCGCCUUUGCCAGGCUUGAGAGUUUGUGCUGCUAAUCCUUCCUUGGAUGUCUGAUAUCUCAAUUUCAUUGUGUCGCCCACAUAUACCAAUUGCAGAUUGUUUAUGCUGGUAUUUGAUCCUUGUCAACUUGAUCUGUUUUGUUUAGGAUGGAAUUUUUAGAACUUUUAAUUCAAUUAAAUUAUUUGUUAUGUCUAUGACUAUUAUCCUUGUUACUAUCUUGUUUAUUCUAGGUGAUCAUAUAGUAUUAUUUUUUGCUGAAUUAAUCACUUAGUCACAACCAAGCUUUUAAGAAGCUAAAGGGUCUUGAGGCUUUUUAAGCCUGGAGGUAGAACAAUGUGUUUAAGCCUCAGCUUAAACAAGUCAAUAUCAAAAGAUUAGAAAAAGACGUGCACACACAAGAAAAUUGAAUAAUAAAGAAGACAAACAUUAGAGGAAUGAAAUUAAUUUUUUGUCAUGGUUAAUAGCUUAUAAUUUAGUUCCUUUUUCUCUCUUAUAAAAUUAAGCUCGUUCUCUCAUAUCAUCAAAUAUUUUUCAACAUUAGUGUUAUCACAAAUGGGAACCUUUGAGAAAUAUAAUCAUAUGCAAUUGCUAUAUUUUCCUCCCCCACCAUAGAUAUUGAUAUUUCUUUGUUCACUAACUGAAAUAUUAUUGCCUCUUAAAAAUAAAAUAAUGAUUAUAUAUUAGAUACUAAGAUAAGGAAUAAUUCUCCUAUUCUUUGUUCUCAAACUCUUUUUCCCUUCCACUCAAAAGCUUAAUUGGAAGUUGAUUUAAGUCUUUAUUUUAUAAAAGGUUGAAUCAAGUUAGCCUUGAGCCUCAAGAGAAGACUAACUUGUAGACAGUGUAGGCCCUACUAGCCUUUUAAAAUGCUACUUAUAAUCCUGAACUGUUCCCACUGAUCCCAACUCGGAAGGCUUGUUUCUCAAAUCAUUUGCAGUUUGCAUGUCUGACAUGAAUUGUCUAAGAAUGACAUUCUUCUUUUUUUUUUUCCCUGUUUAUGUUGGGGCCAAAUGUAACUGAUACUCCUUGUAAGUGCCUGCAUUGAUGUUUAUCGAGCUUAUAAAACUGUUAGCAAAGGGUCAAUGAUGCUAAAUCCAAAGGCUAGUUUCUCAAAACAUUCGCAGUAGCCGCCUAAGAGCUUUCGCCUUCGCCAGGCUUGAGAGCUUGUGCUGCUAAUCCUUCCUUGGAUGUCUGAGACUUAAAUUACUCUGUAUGAGAAAUUUUUUGUUAUUUUAUCUCUUAAAGUUGAAUGCUUUCUUAACUUAGUUGGCUAUGUGAACAUAUACCCAUUUUGACAGCUAUUGUGUUCUAGUCUCUAAAGCCAGCUUUUUUAAGUUGAAUGCUCCUCAGAAUUUAUUGGCUGUGUGAACAUAUACCUAAUGUUACAUGCUGAUAGCUAUUGUGUUCUAGUCUGGAAAACCAGCUUAUUAUAUUUGCAUACCUCUUGAUUGGCCUUCAAAAUUCUUAAUGUAAUUCGAAUGUAUCUUUAUGGUAUAUUUUAUUUUGAUUUAGGUGUUACUAUUGUUUGUCUAAAAUUUUGUGUCACAAUGUCAAUGAUGACAACUCCAAAGGCUUGUUUCUCAAAACAUUCGCAGUAGCCGCCUAAGAGCUUUCGCCUUUGCCAGGCUUGAGAGUUUGUGCUGCUAAUCCUUCCUUGGAUGUCUGAGAUCUCAAUUGUGCUCAUUGUGUUGCCCACAUAUACCAAUCGCAGAUUGUUUAUGCUGGUAUUUGAUCCUUGUCAACUUGAUCUGUUUUGUUUAGAAUGGGAUUUUUAGUACUUUCAAUUCGAUUAAAUUAUUUGUUUUGUCUAUGACUACUAUCCUUUUUUUUGGUGCAAAAUGUAACUGGUAUAUCCAGUGUUCCGACCAUUUCUUUAUACUCCUUGGAAAUGCCUGCAUUGAUGUUUAUUGAGCUUAUGAAACUAUUAGAAAUGGGUUGAUGAUGCUAAAUCCAAAGGCUUGUUUCUCAAAACAUUCGCAGUAGCCGCCUGAGAGUUUUCGCCUUCGCCAGGCUUGAGAGCUUGUGCUGCUAAUCCUUCCUUGGAUGUCUGAGACUUAAAUCACUUUUUCAAAUUAGUCUUAUAUUUUGUUUCUAUUGGCAAAACCCAUCCGCAAGUGCAAUUUUUUUUUUUUGUUGUGUUUGUUGCUUGAAGUUGAAUGCCCUCUGAACUUAGUUGUCCAUGGGCACAUAUACCUCAUGUAUUAUUGCUCAUUUAUUCACUAACCUAAAGGUUUGUGUCUCUAUGUCAAUGAUGACCCCAUAGGCUCGUUUCUCAAAACAUGUAGCCACCUAAGAGCUUUUGCCUUCGCCAGGCUUGAGGGUUUGUGCUGCUUAAAUUCUUCCUUGGAUAUCUGAGAUCUCAAUCGCGUUCGUUGAUUGAGUUGUGUAUACCAAAUAAAUUAAACUUUUUGCUGAAUUAAUCAUUUAGGGUUCUUCUGUCGUCUAAUUUUAAUUACCUUUUACAACCCUAACCUUUCUCAAUGAUCUCGACUCCAAAGGCUUAUUCACAGUAGCAUGUUCGAGAUCAUCUUUUAUUUUUCUUUUUUCUGGGGCAAAUAUAAUCGACAGUGUUACAAUCAUAUAUCCUUUGGUCACAUCUCUUUGUAUGCAUUGUGAUCAUUUAGAGGGGCAUUGUCACUCUCAUUUCUCCAUUAGAAAUCAAACGCUAGCCAUUUAAGAGUUUAUUUAAUUCUAACAUUGGCAUCAUAUCGAUAUGGUACUACCUUACACAUUGUUUCAUGUUUGGUUUUUCAAUUUUUCUAUGCUACAAGUCCUAACCUUCAAAUCUUUAAGCGCUCCUGCAUAAGUUGGACAAUUUUGAUUUUGUCUCCAUGGUUCGUUAAUGCUGUAGACCUAUCCAGAACUGAAACUUGUUUCUACCAUAGAUAUUGAAUCUAUGGCACCUUUUUAGUUUUUAUUUUUUGUCUUUGUCGACCUUGGAGUUCCGAUAGUUCGGUUGUGUAUAUUGGGGACAUUUCAAUGGUGAUUAUAAUUUUGACUAUUUAAAAAGAAAAGUCAAAAUCAGGAAUCUUCAAUUAUAGAAUUGUAAUUGGUGAUUAUGAUUUUGAAUCUUAUAACUUGGAUGCUGAUGUGCGGAAAGGAAUUAUUUUACAACCUAAUCGAAGUUUAAGGAUAUUUUUUUGGCUAGAGGGGACUAUUUUGAGUCCAAACAUGUUUCAUCCCCUGGGGUAUUUAUCAGUUAUCUAGACUGGCUAUUGUGAUUGUGAGGCUCUUCUUUUAUUUCAAUGAAGUUUGACGUCAUUGGUUUA